GAGUUUGAUCGUGGCUCAGGAUAAACGCUGGCGGCGUGCUUCAGGCAUGCAAGUCGAACGGGUGUCAGCCUUCGGGUUGGCACUAGUGGCGGACGGGUGAGUAACACGUAAGCAAUCUGCCCGGUAGUGGGGAAUAACUAGCCGAAAGGCUGGCUAAUACCGCAUGUGAUGGCUGGUCUUUGGAUGAGUCAUGAAAGGCGUAAGUCGCUACCGGAGGAGCUUGCGGCCGAUUAGCUAGUUGGUGAGGUAAUGGCCCACCAAGGCAACGAUCGGUAGCUGGUCUGAGAGGACGGUCAGCCACACGGGGACUGAGAUACGGCCCCGACUCCUACGGGAGGCAGCAGCUAGGAAUCUUGGGAAUGGGCGAAAGCCUGACCCAGCAACGCCGCGUGGGCGAUGAAGGCCUUCGGGUCGUAAAGCCCUUUUGCAGGGAAGAUGAUGACGGUACCUUGCGAAUAAGCCACGGCUAACUACGUGCCAGCCGCCGCGGU
RNAcentral lists this ribosomal RNA (491 nucleotides) under uncultured bacterium. RNAcentral describes it as "bacterial SSU rRNA". It matches the Rfam family "Bacterial small subunit ribosomal RNA", at positions 9 to 521 of the family's 1533-position model. The record is from RNAcentral.